Molecule: long non-coding RNA, 3908 nt
Organism: Alexandromys fortis (reed vole)
Lineage: Eukaryota; Metazoa; Chordata; Mammalia; Rodentia; Cricetidae
Exons: 7
Source: RefSeq, a predicted model, not a curated record
UGGUUCAAGUCAAAUCAGUCCUUGGAGGGGGGAACUCCUGCCUCCUCUUAUGGAUCAUGUUAAAGUAUUUCUAGGUGAACAGAACCUUCAAAUGACUGCCCCUAACUGCAGAAGGUUGGCAAAAGACGCUUUGCUGAGGGGUGCAGAGAGCUGGUGUCUGUUAAUCUUUUCUUCCAGCUUAUCUGGCCUCCUAGGGGGAAAACUGGAGCUACAAGAAGCCGGGUUCCAGGAGAAGCUUUUUCUUGGAAUGACAAGUUUAACUAUAAGACUAGAAGGUGGAGUUGAAGGUGUGUGUGUGUGUGUGUGUGUGUGUGUGUGUGUGUGUGUGUGUGUAGGGGGGGUGGGGAUGUUUGAGAACAAGUGAGAAGGGACAGCCACCAACCUAAAGAGCAUAGGUACUUGCUUACAGGAACUGACAAAACUAGACUUCAGUUGAGCGGAGACACCAACGGAUCCACCUGCUUGGUUGUAAAGAAAGCCAGGAACUAGGUCACCAACCCUAAUAUUUCUCUCUCCUCGUAGAUUUGAAACCAGCUAAAGUUAGGUGCCCAGUUUAUCUGUCUGUGUUACUGUCUCUUGCUCCCUAGUCCCCUUUCUUCACGGCUGGAGGAGUUCUAAUGGUAGUGAAUCCUCUGAGCUGGACAGACCUUAGCUGAAUCUAGAUACUAUAGGCUGGGCCAUCAGUACCUUUCCUGUCUGGAAUUUGCACCCACACCCUUCUCUUGGUCUGUUUUCUAGGCUGCUAACAUUGCUGAAACUGCAUGGAGAAACAUUUUUAUCUUUGUAGAAAAUGCAAUAAUGAUGAUGAUAAUAAUAAUAAUAAUAAUAAUAAUAAUAAUAAUAAUAAUAAUGUAUGAGGGGAAGUUGAGGGCUCUAAUUUGCGAAUACUCAAAUACGGAGGACUUCCUUGGGGAAGCUUGUGACAUUUUCCGAGAUGGGAGGAGGUUAAUUUUCACUAAAACUACAUGGCACACAUAAAUAAGUAACUUGAAGCCCAAGAACGAGGCAUUUCUCCCACUCGACUUUCAGUUCCCAGGAUUACCUGCCUCGACCUCAAAGCCCCGCGGCCUCGGUUGGGAGAGUUUGCGGGUAACUUGCGCUACGCUUUCCCUUUACAGAGUGUUUCCAGACGCACUACUCAAAUGGGCUGAAGAUGAAGUUUUUCUUUUUGUCAGUUGUCACCUUACAAAAGGAGACUGGGCGUGAGGUCCCUUUGUCCCGGUCAAGUUGCGCGUGAAAUCUUUUUGUUGUCUUUUCUAAAGAAAGGCAAAAGUUGCAGUUGGUUGUAAAAAGGACAAAUUUAGCUCCUUGAAAGUGGAGCUUUUUUUUUAAAGUUGCCUGGAGACACUAAGUACGGUAUCACUUUUUAAAAAUUUAUUAACCUCUAAAAAACAUCAUUUAUUUGUUCUAGAAAUCACGAUUUUUGAGGACUUAACAUUAUUUAUUCAUUACUACGAAUGCCUAGUACUUUCUCAGGGAAAAUGAAUUUAAAAUAUCUUUCAUUUGUUGUAGGUGCCACGGGAGAAGAUUUUUAGCAUAAAGUAUUUUAUACCCUGGCCAGAACUGAAACUUGAGAAACAGACAUUUCGAUUUUAAAAUAGAUAUUUUUAGUCGAAAACUAAUAUAACAGGGCUUUAAAAAUGUUUGUGUGAAUUCUGUCCGUUUAUUAAGCUCGCGCAUUUUUUAAAGGCUUUUCGACUAUCUGCUCUCAGAGAAAUUUAAGAAAUUAAGUCAUUCUGAGUCGAUCUUUCGGGGUAACACUAUUAAAAGGCACACAACACUUUAAGGUUGUUUUAGGAGAAUUUCAUGACCACAAAACUGUCUCGAUGUCACCUUACGAAUUCUGAAUCGUUUUGUUUGCAAACGCGUGUUAGAAAUCAAGACUAGCUACCGCGGGAGUUGCAGGUGGCCAGGGGGCUGUAGUCAUUCUCGAAGAAAGACUUGCACUAAUGUACCAGUGUGCUCUCUGGCCGGACUCAAUCGGUAAGGUUGUGGAGAAGGAAACUGAGAUACAGACCCCGGGCUGAGAGAGCAAAGUAGCCACCCUGCAACCUGGAGGGCCCGGAAGACCUGUUGCCCCCCACCCCCACCCCCAAAGUAGCAUUUGUAGGGCAGCGGAACGGCCCUGGUGUGGGGGUGGCUGUUUGGGCGGGCCAAGCUUGGAGGUGUGGAAUGGGCUGGAGGUGGUGGUGGAGAAGGUGGGAAGGGAGCCCAACCGGUCCAGGGUGACUGUGGAGACCAUAGAGGAGGGCGUCGAGGCUCUGGGGGUUGGUGUGGAGGCCUCGGUGUUUGGGCUGCAGGUUGUGUGUGUGGAAUUAGAGGCUCCACACACUUCAGAGGAAGGCCGAUGUGGUAGGGACUGGGCACUGAGGCCCUGGGUGCCGGCCUCCAGACUGAGUCAGCCGAAAAGCACCGGAAGCCCACGUAAAGAUUUCACGUCUCUUUAUUGUUCCACUGAAAGACAUGUAUACGGGGUUUCAUUAUAUUUCGAACUUCUUUUCAUACUUCAUUUUUUAUAGAAAUCGCGUUAUGCAGCAUACACGCAGGGUUCAGGGAUCAUUGCAGAAGAGGGAGCAGAAGGAAUGCGAGAACGGGAAGAGUCCUCAUGUACCGUCGUAUACAUCACUGUAAUAAUCACCAGAUUUGAUUAGUCAUUGAACAUGGAGUCCAGCUUCCCAGUGCUCUGGACACAGCAUAGGCUCUGUCAGAAGUUACAGGAUUCCCAUCAUGUGGAUAGCCCUGGGGCUGGUUCUCUGCACGACGCAUCACUUAAACCACCUGUGAAGUUGAGACGGACUAGAGGAGAAAGUCAGCUGUCAGCGUGAUCACAGUAAUUGUACUACUGUUGACCGAGUGCCCGCUGUGCAAUUUGUAUAGUGCUCUCCACCCCCACUAUGCCACACUCUCACACAGGAGACAUUGUCAGAGAUUCUACAACCAGCAUGUGCCAGAACGGAAACACAGUCUAGCCAUUUUUACACCAGAACUCCUCCGAGGACUAGGGACAGGAAAGCAGAAGGCAGCGAGAGCAAUUGCACUGUCAUCACCGCAAGUCCAGUCAAGUCUAGAACUCCCUCGAGCUUGCCAAGACCCAGUGUGAUCACUAAUCUAGGCAGACAUCCUGGAGGAAGUGACUUCCUGGAAAAUAGCGCCAUGCCAAUUGGACCUUUAGCUGACCUCUGUGCUCAACGAAAAAGUCAACUAACGUUCUGGUCACAGUUGCAGAAGUGUGGAAGAAGAACGCAGGGAUCCAGAGAAUGGCCCCAUCCAGCUUUUUUAAACUGAGGAAGAAGUUGUUACGAUCCUGAAUGGUUAAAAGACAACUUUGGUGCAUCCAGACUUUAAAUCAUGGUGCUCAGUCAAGACCAAAUUCGGAAGGAUGCUGACCAUCCUGAGCCUUCCUGAGGGCACUGCAAACAUUUGGGAGGAUGGCUGCUCACCACCUCCUCUUGCAUUUAGGAGAGGACAAAGCCCGUAUAGGUGCAGCAAUAUGUCAGCCGCCCCCAGAGAGGACGAAAGUAAAUGAAUCGGUGCUGGAGAGUGAAGGAUACCAUCCGUGCAGAAUGGCGAAAGGACUCCCAAACAGCAUCUUCAUUGAUUUUCUUUGUAAUUGACACAGCAUCUCGGUUUGCCUUCAGGCUUCAGCAAGAGAGAAUGGGCAGCCAUGUACACAGAGCUUGCCGGUGUCGGAAUUUAAUAAAAAAAAAAAAAUACCUUCCAAAUGAACGCCCUUUCUUCCUCAUUGUUCCUCUUUCUUUCUCUCUCUUCUUUCUGCUUCCUUGGUGUCCCCUCCUUUCCUAUUUUUCUCUACUCAAUGCCUUCCACCCCCACUUCCAAACAGAAGCAUGCACGGUAAAUAUUACAGUGUGUGCAACCCGGCUGUCACAUCGAUGACUUUAGGAAAAGAA